CGAUGUGGUCGGGGAAGAAGCUGCGAAUCUGGAUUUGUGAUUGUUAUAGCUCCGACGAGGAUUGGACCACUGGGGGCUAUUUGUAGCCAUCAGAUUCUUCCUUCCGGCCAUCUUUCUACCGCUAGGGGUAGUGUGGGACUCUCUUCUUGCUUCGACGUGAAGCUCUCGGCCAGACAUCAGAGAUCGAUUCAGGGGGAUUCUUGUUGGUGGCAGAGGU
Long non-coding RNA from Zingiber officinale, 217 nucleotides. RefSeq lists it as uncharacterized. NCBI's taxonomy places the organism in Eukaryota, Viridiplantae, Streptophyta, Magnoliopsida, Zingiberales, Zingiberaceae. The transcript has 3 exons. The record is from RefSeq and is a predicted model, not a curated record.